GCUGACACGUCCCGGCCAAUCUCCAGCAGACCCUCCCUCCCAGACCCUCCUACUUCCUGGACAGCAUCCAUGUUUUCAAAACAUGGAUGCUGUCCAGGAAGUAGGAGGGUCUGGGAGGGAGGGUCUGCUGGAGAUUGGCCGGGACGUGUCAG
This 152-nucleotide microRNA precursor is filed under the name Pelobates cultripes (western spadefoot toad). The record is from RNAcentral. Lineage: Eukaryota; Metazoa; Chordata; Amphibia; Anura; Pelobatidae.